RNAcentral lists this ribosomal RNA (492 nucleotides) under uncultured bacterium. RNAcentral describes it as "partial 16S ribosomal RNA". It matches the Rfam family "Bacterial small subunit ribosomal RNA", at positions 29 to 507 of the family's 1533-position model. The record is from RNAcentral.
AGUGUACGCUGGCGGUAGGCCUAACACAUGCAAGUCGAACGGCAGCACAGUAAGAGCUUGCUCUUACGGGUGGCGAGUGGCGGACGGGUGAGGAAUACAUCGGAAUCUACUUUUUCGUGGGGGAUAACGUAGGGAAACUUACGCUAAUACCGCAUACGACCUACGGGUGAAAGCAGGGGAUCUUCGGACCUUGCGCGAUUGAAUGAGCCGAUGUCGGAUUAGCUAGUUGGCGGGGUAAGGGCCCACCAAGGCGACGAUCCGUAGCUGGUCUGAGAGGAUGAUCAGCCACACUGGAACUGAGACACGGUCCAGACUCCUACGGGAGGCAGCAGUGGGGAAUAUUGGACAAUGGGCGCAAGCCUGAUCCAGCCAUACCGCGUGGGUGAAGAAGGCCUUCGGGUUGUAAAGCCCUUUUGUUGGGAAAGAAAAGCAGCAGGUUAAUACCCCGCUGUUCUGACGGUACCCAAAGAAUAAGCACCGGCUAACUUCGUG